GGACGAACGCUGGCGGCGUGCCUAAUACAUGCAAGUAGAACGCUGAAGAGAGGAGCUUGCUCUUCUUGGAUGAGUUGCGAACGGGUGAGUAACGCGUAGGUAACCUGCCUUGUAGCGGGGGAUAACUAUUGGAAACGAUAGCUAAUACCGCAUAACAAUGGAUGACACAUGUCAUUUAUUUGAAAGGGGCAAUUGUUCCACUACAAGAUGGACCUGCGUUGUAUUAGCUAGUAGGUGAGGUAAUGGCUCACCUAGGCGACGAUACAUAGCCGACCUGAGAGGGUGAUCGGCCACACUGGGACUGAGACACGGCCCAGACUCCUACGGGAGGCAGCAGUAGGGAAUCUUCGGCAAUGGGGGCAACCCUGACCGAGCAACGCCGCGUGAGUGAAGAAGGUUUUCGGAUCGCAAAGCUCUGUUGUAAGUCAAGAACGGGUGUGAGAGUGGAAAGUUCACACUAUGACGGUAGCUUACCAGAAAGGGACGGCUAACUACGUGCCAGCAGCCGCGGUAAUACGUAGGUCCCGAGCGUUGUCCGGAUUUAUUGGGCGUAAAGCGAGCGCAGGCGGUUUGAUAAGUCUGAAGUUAAAGGCUGUGGCUCAACCAUAGUUCGCUUUGGAAACUGUCAAACUUGAGUGCAGAAGGGGAGAGUGGAAUUCCAUGUGUAGCGGUGAAAUGCGUAGAUAUAUGGAGGAACACCGGUGGCGAAAGCGGCUCUCUGGUCUGUAACUGACGCUGAGGCUCGAAAGCGUGGGGAGCGAACAGGAUUAGAUACCCUGGUAGUCCACGCCGUAAACGAUGAGUGCUAGGUGUUGGAUCCUUUCCGGGAUUCAGUGCCGCAGCUAACGCAUUAAGCACUCCGCCUGGGGAGUACGACCGCAAGGUUGAAACUCAAAGGAAUUGACGGGGGCCCGCACAAGCGGUGGAGCAUGUGGUUUAAUUCGAAGCAACGCGAAGAACCUUACCAGGUCUUGACAUCCCGAUGCUAUUUCUAGAGAUAGAAAGUUACUUCGGUACAUCGGUGACAGGUGGUGCAUGGUUGUCGUCAGCUCGUGUCGUGAGAUGUUGGGUUAAGUCCCGCAACGAGCGCAACCCCUAUUGUUAGUUGCCAUCAUUCAGUUGGGCACUCUAGCGAGACUGCCGGUAAUAAACCGGAGGAAGGUGGGGAUGACGUCAAAUCAUCAUGCCCCUUAUGACCUGGGCUACACACGUGCUACAAUGGUUGGUACAACGAGUUGCGAGUCGGUGACGGCGAGCUAAUCUCUUAAAGCCAAUCUCAGUUCGGAUUGUAGGCUGCAACUCGCCUACAUGAAGUCGGAAUCGCUAGUAAUCGCGGAUCAGCACGCCGCGGUGAAUACGUUCCCGGGCCUUGUACACACCGCCCGUCACACCACGAGAGUUUGUAACACCCGAAGUCGGAGAGGUAACCUUUUGGAGCCAGCCGCCUAAGGUGGGAC
RNAcentral lists this ribosomal RNA (1457 nucleotides) under uncultured organism. Its description in RNAcentral is "16S ribosomal RNA". It matches the Rfam family "Bacterial small subunit ribosomal RNA". The record is from RNAcentral.